UACGUAGGGGGCAAGCGUUGUCCGGAUUUAUUGGGCGUAAAGCGCGCGCAGGCGGUCCUUUAAGUCUGAUGUGAAAGCCCACGGCUCAACCGUGGAGGGUCAUUGGAAACUGGGGGACUUGAGUGCAGAAGAGAAGAGUGGAAUUCCACGUGUAGCGGUGAAAUGCGUAGAGAUGUGGAGGAACACCAGUGGCGAAGGCGACUCUGUGGUCUGUAACUGACGCUGAGGCGCGAAAGCGUGGGGAGCAAACAGG
This 253-nucleotide ribosomal RNA is filed under the name uncultured bacterium. RNAcentral describes it as "partial 16S ribosomal RNA". It matches the Rfam family "Bacterial small subunit ribosomal RNA", at positions 524 to 776 of the family's 1533-position model. The record is from RNAcentral.